UUUAAUUGAAGAGUUUGAUCAUGGCUCAGAUUGAACGCUGGCGGCAGGCCUAACACAUGCAAGUCGAGCGGUAACAGAGAGUAGCUUGCUACUUUGCUGACGAGCGGCGGACGGGUGAGUAAUGCUUGGGAACAUGCCUUGAGGUGGGGGACAACAGUUGGAAACGACUGCUAAUACCGCAUAAUGUCUACGGACCAAAGGGGGCU
The sequence is a ribosomal RNA, 206 nucleotides long. It matches the Rfam family "Bacterial small subunit ribosomal RNA", at positions 1 to 212 of the family's 1533-position model.